AGAGUUUGAUCAUGGCUCAGGAUGAACGCUAGCGGCAGGCUUAAUACAUGCAAGUCGAGGGGCAGCACGAAUAGCAAUAUUUGGUGGCGACCGGCAAACGGGUGCGGAACACGUACGCAACCUUCCCAUAACUGGUGAAUAGCCUUCCGAAAGGGAGAUUAAUACACCGUAACAUAUUUGAGUGGCAUCACUUGAUUAUUAUAGCUUCGGCGGUUUUGGAUGGGCGUGCGCCUGAUUAGGUAGUUGGCGGGGUAACGGCCCACCAAGCCUUCGAUCAGUAACUGGUGUGAGAGCACGACCAGUCACACGGGCACUGAGACACGGGCCCGACUCCUACGGGAGGCAGCAGUAAGGAAUAUUGGUCAAUGGACGCAAGUCUGAACCAGCCAUGCCGCGUGAAGGAUGAAGGCCCUCUGGGUUGUAAACUUCUUUUAUCUGGGACGAAAAAAGGGGAUUCUUCCUCACUUGACGGUACCAGAGGAAUAAGCACCGGCUAACUCCGUGCCAGCAGCCGCGGUAAUACGGAGGGUGCAAGCGUUAUCCGGAUUUACUGGGUUUAAAGGGUGCGUAGGUGGGUAGGUAAGUCAGUGGUGAAAUCUUCGAGCUUAACUCGGAAACUGCCAUUGAUACUAUUUAUCUUGAAUACUUUGGAGGUAAGCGGAAUAUGUCAUGUAGCGGUGAAAUGCUUAGAUAUGACAUAGAACACCAAUUGCGAAGGCAGCUUACUACACAGUUAUUGACACUGAGGCACGAAAGCGUGGGGAUCAAACAGGAUUAGAUACCCUAGUAGUCC
Molecule: ribosomal RNA, 793 nt
Filed under: uncultured bacterium
Lineage: Bacteria
Description: bacterial SSU rRNA
Rfam family: Bacterial small subunit ribosomal RNA
Source: RNAcentral